This 852-nucleotide long non-coding RNA is filed under the name Gallus gallus (chicken). RNAcentral's name for it is "lncRNA (ENSGALG00010007396.1)". Lineage: Eukaryota; Metazoa; Chordata; Aves; Galliformes; Phasianidae. The record is from RNAcentral.
AUGGGGCUGCUUUAAUGUGAAGCGAGAUCCAGGCAGAGGAUGCUCCGAAUGCAGCUCAGACAAAAGUGUGCUUCAGCCACACAAACGCAGAGCACAGUCUUUGCCGUGUCCCAGAAGCAUCUGGAGCAAAACCAUGGCAAUACGAUGUACCCUCGCAAAAUGACUUAGGUGAAAGCAGUGGAAAAAGCUGGUUACUCCAUCUCCCAGGCCUUUCUCACCCCUUUGGAAAUUUCCACCGAAGCCCACCAGGGACAAGCCGUGAGCCCGCAGGGCUGUAGAGGAUGCCCUGAGAACGUGGGGACACAUGGGAAAGCUCCGUGCACCCCCUGGGAAAGUUUGUGUUUUUCAGGAGCCUGGCUGGCUGCCUGCAUCUCACAUGGUGUGGAGCAUCUCCUGCGGUCAGCAACAGCGGAUGAGAGCAGUUCCCUGGAGGCACCUCACAGAGUGAGAUCCGUCUGCUGCUGCUGUAGUUUCAUGCCCUUCCAUGGCCACAGAAGAACGCUCAAGCAGAUAUUUCGGUAUACUGCAGAAAUGACCUGAGUGUGCUGGAUUCUGGCUGGGUUAUCCAGGGUCUUUUCUGGCCAGUAAUGUGUUCUCCUAGAGGAGAGCCAGAAAAAGGAUGGGCCAGAGCAACUUUGCUUGAACUCUCCAACCCAAAGUCAUUUCCAAACAUCAUGAGGCUGGAUUUGGAAGCCAAGUUUUGGUGUUCACGAAGGACUGAUUGUUACUCCCUACCUUAGCCUUAAAUUCAGUAAGGUGCUGAAAAACAAAGCGUAGGCAUAGGAUCAGUUGUGACUCUUAGCAGAUGAACUGGACUGCCUGAUUACCUGUUGAUGAGCCAUUUAAUUGGAG